GGUCGUACUGGUCGAUUAGGAAACUCAUCAAUGAAUAGAUAAAUUCCGAGACAAGCUUACCGUUUCCAAUGGCGGGUCACACCCUCCGGGGAUGCUUCAGGGCACAAGUGAAUUACAAAGGGGCGGAGCACUCAAAUCCUGUUACACGGAGUUUCGUCUUUAUCUUUCAGUACGAUUUUUAUA
Molecule: small RNA, 183 nt
Filed under: Indolivaga macrotermitis
Lineage: Bacteria; Pseudomonadati; Bacteroidota; Bacteroidia; Bacteroidales; Dysgonomonadaceae
Description: Dysgonomonas macrotermitis Bacteroidales-1 6S-Bacteroidales RNA suggested
Rfam family: Bacteroidales-1 6S-Bacteroidales RNA suggested
Source: Rfam by way of RNAcentral